UCCAGGGUAGCCUAGUGGACAUGGCAUCUUCCCGGUAAGAGGAACGUUGUGGCUUCGAUUCCCGCCCCUGGAC
This 73-nucleotide transfer RNA is filed under the name Cordylochernes scorpioides. RNAcentral describes it as "tRNA-Thr". It matches the Rfam family "tRNA". From Rfam's summary of the family: Transfer RNA (tRNA) molecules are approximately 80 nucleotides in length. Their secondary structure includes four short double-helical elements and three loops (D, anti-codon, and T loops). The record is from RNAcentral. Lineage: Eukaryota; Metazoa; Arthropoda; Arachnida; Pseudoscorpiones; Chernetidae.